This 468-nucleotide ribosomal RNA is filed under the name uncultured bacterium. Its description in RNAcentral is "partial 16S ribosomal RNA". It matches the Rfam family "Bacterial small subunit ribosomal RNA", at positions 28 to 507 of the family's 1533-position model. The record is from RNAcentral.
GACGAACGCUGGCGGCGUGCUUAACACAUGCAAGUCGAACGGAAAGACCCUGCUUUUGUUGGUUUCUCGAUUGGCGAACGGGUGUGUGACACGUGAGUAACCUGCCCUUGACUUUGGGAUAACUUCUGGAAAAUGCGGCUAAUACCGGAUAGGAGCUCCUGCUGCGUGGUGGGGGUUGGAAAGUGCCGGCGGUAGUGGCUGGAUUCGCGGGUUAUCAGCUUGUUUGUGAGGUAGGUGCGUACCAAGGCUUUGACGGGUAGCCGGCAUGAGAGGUGGGCCGGCCUCAAUGGUCCUGCGGUAGGCCCCAGUAUCCUACGUGACGCAGUAGUGGGGAAUAUUGCGCAACGGCGGCACGCGUGUUGCAGCAACCCCCGGAUCGGGAUGCUCUCUUUUGGGUUAUAAACCGAUUUCGACUGUGCCGAGCCGUGAGUGACGGUACUGGGUCAAGAAGCACCGGCUAACUACGUG